UAAAUAAGAAGCAAACCUUUGCAUUUAGUUUCGACCUAAAAAUUUGAUUAUAAUUUAAUCCUUAUUUAU
This 69-nucleotide transfer RNA is filed under the name Heterotarsus carinula. RNAcentral's name for it is "tRNA-Ala". Lineage: Eukaryota; Metazoa; Arthropoda; Insecta; Coleoptera; Tenebrionidae. The record is from RNAcentral.